Molecule: ribosomal RNA, 200 nt
Filed under: uncultured bacterium
Lineage: Bacteria
Description: partial 16S ribosomal RNA
Rfam family: Bacterial small subunit ribosomal RNA
Source: RNAcentral
UAAUACAGAGGUCUCGAGCGUUAGGCGGAAUCACUGGGCUUAAAGCGUGUGUAGGCGGGUCGUUAAGUGCCUUGUGAAAUCCCAUGGCUCAACCAUGGAACUGCUGGGCAUACUGGCGAUCUUGUGCCACCUAGGGGCGAGCGGAACAGAUGGUGGAGCGGUGAAAUGCGUAGAUAUCAUCUGGAACGCCAAUGGUGAAA